RNAcentral lists this long non-coding RNA (504 nucleotides) under Homo sapiens (human). RNAcentral's name for it is "HSALNT0395942". Lineage: Eukaryota; Metazoa; Chordata; Mammalia; Primates; Hominidae. The record is from RNAcentral.
UUUUGAGAUGGAGUUUCACUCUUGUUGACCCACUGCACUCCAGCCUGGGCAACAAGAGCAAAACUCCAUCUCAAAAAAAAAAAAAAAGAAAGAAACAGUGCCGAAAAAUCACAAUGAUUUGAGUUCUUCAAAAACCUUUGAUUGGCUGCAUUGGCUCUGUUCUGCAUAUUACUAGACUUCUUACAUGAUCACAAGUAACCACUAAUUGGUUAAAACCAAAGAGAGAGAGAGAGAGAGUGUGUGUGUGUGUGUGUGUGUUUGGUUGGGGGGUGUUGUGUUAGCUUCCAGGUGAAUGCAUUAUCUGUUAAUCCUGUUUAUUGAUCUGUUUUUAUAAGUGCUCCAUGAUUCUCUGAAAACAGUAUACUAUGUAUCUAAUUUUUGGAUACAGGAUGGACAUACGUACUCAAACUGUGUUUUUCAAUUUGUACUGUAUUUGUUUCUCUCGACCUGACUUAGUGAUAGAGGUAUAUUAAAGUCUUCCACUAGCAUGGUAGAUUAACAAAU